Patiria miniata (bat star) is the source of this 1384-nucleotide long non-coding RNA. RefSeq lists it as uncharacterized. The record is from RefSeq and is a predicted model, not a curated record. Lineage: Eukaryota; Metazoa; Echinodermata; Asteroidea; Valvatida; Asterinidae. The transcript is spliced from 4 exons.
CUUCGGCGUUGCAUGCUGCAUGCUGUACACCAGCGCAACUCACAGCGAUAGUGGGCAGAGGUAUCCUAAAUUUCAACCCUGAAAACAGCCCAUUUUUCUCUAUGUUGGGAGCAGUUUUCACAAUUAACGAAUCAUGUACGCUCUAUCAAAGCUACGGGUAUCGUUUGGACCGCUCAGAGGUGUGCUGCGUUCGACACCAAUGAGGCAUGGCAGUGUUGUAUACCGUGGUGCUGCACAGCCUAGCAGAAGGCAAUACUGGAAAGGAGAGAUAGUUGCUGGUGCUAUGUGGUUCUGGAUUCUGUGGAGGUUUUACCACGAACCAAAAGAUGUUUUUGGUCACAAUCCUUGGCCUGAUGCCUCCAAGUGGACAGAUGAGGAACUAGGCAUACCACCUGAUGAUGAAGAUUAACACAGGACAAGAAGUUAAGACCUCAGCCUCCGUGUUUGUAAGCUCAUCCAGCAAUAAGCAUGUUGAUUCCGGCACCAGAAUGUAUGAUUAAGAAACCAUUUGAUAUCGACAUCCGUUACAUCUAGACAGAUACUGGUUGUGUUCAAGUGUAAAACUUGAUUAUAAUUUAACCCUAACUCAGCAUAGUUUACUAGGAACCGUACCCAUCCUGGCAAAUUCCAACACCCACAUGGGAAAUCGUACUUCUGGAGGUAUGCCAAACGCAAUGUAAAAGACCAUCAGUUUAGGGGUACUGUACCUAUCCUAACAGAUUCCAACAAAACAUGCCGUUGGGGUUUGAUUGGUUGAGUUUUGAAAGGGUUAAGGCACCAUAUAGGCAUCAGUAUGUUCCCUGUGUAAAAAAGUUCAUUUCAACAUAUCAGAUGUGUACAUUUGCAUAGAUUAAAAGCUUGGAGAAAGCCCCCUCCCCCAUCCUCCAAACACACUUAUGUAAACACACAAGUCCUUUUGAAACUUGCCAGUCCCAUGCAGAAACUCUGUUGCAUAUGAAAUAGACCGUUUGUAGGAUACGAUCAGACAGUAGUUCCGGAACAUUUUCUUUCCACUGGGGAAUAUUGGCAUGACAGACUCAAUGCAAUGUAAGGAAUCAAGUCAAGGAAUUUGGUAGCCUUGGUCAAGGCGUUUGGUCUGAUGAUCAGUGGUUGGCCGCUAACAUACACAUUAGCCACGUGCUAUGCACUCACAGGUACUGUACGAAGUAUGAACAGGGACCUCUCGUGGCUAGGCUACAAUAUGCAAAUCAGUUGGUGCUGAAUGAAUGCCUUUGAACAACCGUCGCGUUGGCCUAUGUUUUUCGGGCAGUUUUCGGGGGUUUUUCACAGGAUUUAUAUCAAUUUAUUUUUGGUCUGCAGUUCCAAACUUGUUGGAGAAUGUAGUCACACUGUCCAACUCUCUGUGCAUGUAAAAAUGUAAAAA